CAAACAGGAUUAGAUACCCUGGUAGUCCACGCCNUAAAACGAUGAAUACUAGGUGUUGGAUGCAUUAGCAUUCAGUGCCGCAGUUAACGCAUUAAGUAUUCCACCUGGGGAGUACGAUCGCAAGGUUGAAACUCAAAGGAAUUGACGGGGGCCCGCACAAGCAGUGGAGCAUGUGGUUUAAUUCGAAGCAACGCGAAGAACCUUACCAGGUCUUGACAUCCAGGUAAACUUGCAGAGAUGCAAGGUGUGCUUGCACAAUCUGAGACAGGUGGUGCAUGGUUGUCGUCAGCUCGUGUCGUGAGAUGUUAGGUUAAGUCCCGCAACGAGCGCAACCCUUGUGAUUAGUUACUAACGGGUAAAGCCGAGGACUCUAAUAAGACUGCCGGGGACAACUCGGAGGAAGGUGGGGACGACGUCAAAUCAUCAUGCCCCUUAUGACCUGGGCUACACACGUGCUACAAUGGCCACGACAGAGAGCAGCGAUACCGUAAGGGGGAGCUAAUCUCAUAAAAGUGGUCCCAGUUCGGAUUGUGGGCUGCAACCCGCCCACAUGAAGUCGGAGUUGCCAGUAAUCGCGGAUCAGCAUGCCGCGGUGAAUACGUUCCCGGGCCUUGUACACACCGCCCGUCACACCAUGGGAGUUGGUAGCACCCGAAGCCGGUNNNGUAACCGAAAGGAGCCAGCCGUCGAAGGUGAGACCAAUGACUGGGGUGAAGUCGUAACAAGGUAGCC
RNAcentral lists this ribosomal RNA (732 nucleotides) under uncultured bacterium. RNAcentral describes it as "partial 16S ribosomal RNA". It matches the Rfam family "Bacterial small subunit ribosomal RNA", at positions 769 to 1501 of the family's 1533-position model. The record is from RNAcentral.